This 467-nucleotide ribosomal RNA is filed under the name uncultured bacterium. RNAcentral describes it as "partial 16S ribosomal RNA". It matches the Rfam family "Bacterial small subunit ribosomal RNA", at positions 28 to 507 of the family's 1533-position model. The record is from RNAcentral.
GAUGAACGCUGGCGGCGUGCUUAACACAUGCCAGUCGAACGGAAAGGCCCAAGCUUGCUUGGGUCCUCGAGUGGCGAACGGGUGAGUAACACGUGGGCGAUCUGCCCUGCACUUCGGGAUAAGCCUGGGAAACUGGGUCUAAUACCGGAUAGGACCACUUCUUGGAUGUUGUGGUGGAAAGUUUUUUCGUUGUGGGAUGAGCUCGCGGCCUAUCAGCUUGUUGGUGGGGUAAUGGCCUACCAAGGCGUCGACGGGUAGCCGGCCGGAGAGGGUGUACGGCCACAUUGGGACUGAGAGACGGCCCAGACUCCUACGGGAGGCAGCAGUGGGGAAGAUUGAACAAGGGGCGCAAGCCUGAUGCAGCGACGCCGCGGGGGGGAGGACGGCCUUCGGGUUGUAAACGCCUUUCGCUAGGGACGAAGCGUUUUGUGACGGUACCUGGAGAAGAAGCACCGGCUAACUACGUG